GCCCACGGCUGUAAAAUCAGUGCAACUCCCAGGGCUUCUUACUGCACCAUCCCUCUGCGUCCCACUCCCCACCCUCUGGCCUGUCUUCUCACUGGCAAGCCCUCCUUGGGUGUCUGGUUCCUAUGUGGGCAACACUUACCUCUGUGUGCUGGUGACCCGUGGAGCUUCCAGAACAAUGUGUGCAGUCCGGAGCUGACCCCCCUGCCACCCCAACAGGGGCUACCUGGGCACUGCACUCCCCAGGCUUCCCUCCUCAUCCCUCAGCAGGGGCAUUGUGGGGGUGUGAGCACACAUGCUCGGCAGGUGCUGGAUCUGUGCUGGGCUUCUGAGCAUCAGAGGCCCCAAUGUGCCCCUCCAGGCUUCCUAGUCACCUCCAUUGGGCACAGCAGGAAGCCCCCAGGCUGGGGCAGGGGCAGGAGUUCAGAUGGAGACAGGCAGUUCAGCAGCCAAAGUCCCCAUUGUAACAGGCGCUGCUUUCCACCAGUGUGUAGCACCUGGUGGUGGGGACACCCAGAGGGGCCUGGGUGGGAGACCCCCACACCUGCUCCCACCUGCUCACUGACCUCCUGCCUGUCCCUAUGGGGGUCUCUAGCCACCUGUGUACAACAGAGGGGGAAUCAGACUGUGGCCACCCUCUCUAGACCUGCACCCCGUUCCUUUCUGCAGCCGGACGGGCUGGCCAAGAGCAACCGAUUGUGGAGGGACAGGUGCGUGCCAGACGUGAGCAGAGAAGACAGACGCAGGUGUGGCUGUGGGCAGGGCGGCCUCUCUAAGGUCCCCAGGAGUAGUGGGGGAUCUGUUUGCAGGACAGAGUCAUGGGAAGCCUGGGCCAGCCAGGCAGGUCCUGCCAGUGGGGAAGGAGGUGGCUGCUCCCACGGCUGGGCCAGAGGUGUCCCUGAUGUCCGUAGAUGGUGCUGGGAACCAAGAAAGCAGCUGCUCUUCCUCCUUCACACACGGAUCGAGUUCCGCAGCAGCCGGAGGCCGCGGACGUGAGACACCAGCUGACGCCCAGAGCCUCACAACCCCUGGACCCUGGACGCACAUUCUCCCAGGGCCGGUGCCUGGAAACAAAGGCCACCCUCGCCAGCCGGAAACUUCUAGGCUGGCAAUGGAGAUGGAACAUCCGAUGACCCCCUCUGUAUCCUCCUCUCCCCUGGGGUCCUCCAGGAAGACCUGCGUGGUCAAUGACCCACUUUGUUUUGUUUUGUUUUUGAGAUGGUGUCUUGUUGUGUCUCCCAGGCUGGGGUGCAGUGGUGCGACCUCGCUCCGGGGUUCCAGCGAUUCUCCUGCCUCAGCCUCCCAAAGUGCUGGGAUUAAGGCGUGAACCACGCACCAGGCCAAUUUUUGUAUUUUUAAUGGAGACAGGGUUUCACCAUGUUGGCCAGGCUGGUCUUGAACUCCUGACCUCAGGUGAUCCACUUGCCUCAGCCUCCUACAGUGCUGAGAUUACAGGCGUGAGCCACUGCACCCGGCUUCAAUGACCCACUUGUCCACUGCCCUGCACUUACAUCCUCAGGCAGCUGGAGCCACCUUCGGCAGGAAGCCCUCCCCCUACCACCCACUCACCCACAGGCGGGGCUUCCCCUUGGGUUGCCAUUGACCUUGUGGUCGGCAGGGCACCCGGUGCUCCCAGGUGUGUCUCCCUGCGUGGCCCAUGAGCUCUUCUGUGUGGUGCUCAGAAAUGCUGCUGGGCAGUUUUACUGAAGUUUGUACAUAUAUGAUUCGAUGAGUUUGGCAAACGACCCAGCCGUCAGGAUGCGUGAGAAUUCCUACCACCCUGGACCUGCAGCCACCCCUCUGUCUUCUGUAGCUACAGUUUUGCCUUUUCUAGAAUGUCAUAGAAAUAGAAUCAUAUAGCACAUGGCUUUCUGAGGCCGGAUUCUUUCACUUGGCCUAAUGUGUCUGAGAUUCGCCCACAUCUCGGCCACGCUCCCCGGCCCGCUCUGGUCACGGCUGAGUCGUGUUCCCCGUGUGGGUGCACCACAGCCUGUCUGUCCAGUCAGCACCCAAGGACAAAGGGUUCUUUCCACUUCUUGGGUGCUACAAAUGAAGUGGCUAUGAACAUUUGCAUGCAAGUUGUGUGUGGCUGUAAGUUUUCAUUUUUCAUGGGAAAAUACCUGUAAGUGGCAUUGUUGGAUUGCACAGUAACGGUGUGUUUAAUUUUAUAAGAAACUGACAGACUGGUUUCCAAAGCAUCAUUUUGCACUCCCAUCUGCAACGUCUGUGCGUUCCAGGUGCUGUGCAUCUUCUAAAUUUUAGUCAUUCUUUUUUUUUGAGGCAGGGUCUCACUCUGUUGCCCAGGCUGGAGGGUAGUGGCUCUAUGACAGCUCACUGCAGCCUCCAUCUCUCCGGUUCAAGCAAUUCUCCCACCUCAGCCUCCCAAGGAGCUGGGACUACCAGUGUGGAGUCCUGGUGGGUAGCCAUGCCUGGCUAUUUUAUUUUUUAUAGAGACAGUGUGUUAGGCUGUUCUUGUGUUGCUAUAAAUACCUGAGACUGGGUAGUUUAUUUUAAAAAGAGGUUUAAUUGGCUUAUGGUUCUACAGGCUGUAAAGGAAGCGUGGCAUCAGCAGGCUGUAAAGGAAGCGUGGCAUCAGGAAGCUUCCAAUCACGGCGGAAGGCAAAGGGAGAGCAGGGGUCUCACACGGCAGAAGCAGGAGCAAGAGAGAAUGGGAGGGGAGGCACCACACACUUAACCAGAUCUCACAAAUACCAUUACAAGGACAGCACCAAGCCACGAGGAAUCCACCCCAUGACCAAAACAUCUCCCACCAGGCUCCAUCUCUAACACUGAAGAUUCCAUUUCAACAUGAUGUCUGGGCGGGGACAAAUAUCCAAACUAUAUCAGAUGGGGUCUUUUUUUUUUUUUUUUUUUUUUUUGAGACAGAGUCUCGUCUCGCUCUGUCGCCCAGGCCGGAGUGCAGUGGCACGAUCUCGGCUCACUGUAAGCUCCACCUCCUGGGUUCACGCCAUUCUCCUGCCUCAGCCUCCCGAGUAGCUGGGACUACAGGCGCCCGCCAACACGCCCAGCUAAUUUUUUUGUAUUUUUAGUAGAGAUGGGAUUUCACCCAGAUGGGGUCUUGCUAUGCUGCCCAGGCUGGUCUCAAAUUCCUGGGCUCAAGCUGUCUUCCCGCUUUGGCCUUCCAAAGUGCUGGAAGUAGUAGCAUGAGCCACCGCACUUCGCAGCUUGUCAAUUAAAAAAAAAAAAUUAAAAGAAAAUUUAAAAAAUAUAAUUAAAAUUAAACUGAUUACUUAGACAUUUUAAAGUCUCACUCAAUAUGUUGAGAGAUACAUAAUAGUUUUCUGUGUACAGGUCUCAUGCAAAUUCUGUUAAAUUUACCCCUAGUAUUUUGUGGUUUUUAAAUUCUCUUUUUAAGUGGUACUGUUUUCAUAAUUUCAAUUUCUAAUUGAUUGUUAGUACACAAAUAGAACUGACCUUUUUUUGGCUUUGUACCUUGUGGCUUUGGUAAACUUGCUUAUUCAUUUUAGUACCAGUUUGUAGCUUAGAAUUUUCUGCAGACAAUAAUGUUAUCUUCUUGUUUUGAGACAGAGUUUCGCUCUUGUUGCCCAGGCUGGAGUGCAAUGGCACGAUCUCAGCUAAUUGCAACCUCUGCCUCGUGAGUUCAAGCGAUUCUCCUGCCUGAGCCUCCUGAGUAGCUGGGAUUACAGGUGCCCGUCACCAAGCCCAGCUAAUUUUUGUAUUUUUAGAAGAGACAGGGUUUCACCAGGUUGGCCAGGCUGGUCUCGAACUCCUGACCUCAGGUGAUCUGCCCUCCUCGGCCUCCCAAAGUGCUGGGAUUACAGACGUGAGCCACCGUGCCCGGCCAUUAAUGUCAUCUUCUAAUAAAGAUCACCUAAAAUUUCUUUUUCAACUGGUACAAAUUUUGUUUUCCUUGCCUCAUUACUUGGGCAUGUCCUCUGGCACAACACUGAAAUAAGCGGUGACAAUGGACAACCGUGCCCUGUCCCUGACCCAAGGAAAAGCUUUCAGUUUCUCACCACUAAGCGUGACGUUAGCUGUGGGUUUUUGUAGUUUCCCUUUGUCAGGUUGGGAGUGCAGGAGUAGAACAGAUUCGAAUCUUCUCCUCCUGGUUUACUGAAAGCUUUUGUCGUGAAUGAGUGUUGAAUUUUGUAGAAUGCUUUCCUCGUGUCUAUGGAAAUGACCGUGUGGUUUUUCGGUGUCAGUCUGCUAACAGUGAACGACAAUUGAUUUUGAAAUGUUAAACUAACUUUGCAUUCCUGGGUAAGCUCCACAAGGUCGUAUGUGUCCUCUUUAUAUAUUGCUGGAACUGAUUUGACGUUUUGUUAAGGGAUUUUUGCGUCUAGGCUCCUGAGUGGACUUUAAUUUUCUUGUCAUGUCCUCGUCUGGUUUUGGCACCACGGUGAUGACGGCUUCACACAGAAGCUGGGAAGUGGCCCGUCUUCCUCUGUGUCCUGGAAGCGUCUAUGUAGCAGGGUGCUUUUCCUCCAUUAGUGUUUGGUGGGCUCCACUGGUGAGUCUUGGCCUGGACUUCUUUAUGAGACUGGGCCCUUUCCUAACUCUGGCAACAGACCUUUGUGCUCAAGAGCCCUGGCUCCCUCGGGGCUCCUGCCCCCACCUUACACGUGACGGAGGGGGACCAAGGGCUGUGGCAUCACUGUCCUGAGUGCCUCCUGGCUGGCCACACCCUGGCACACCCCCUCCUGGAGCACCCCAGCACCAGACCCGCUGGACGGAAGGGCAGUUGUCCUGUUGACCCCCACGAAGAUGGGGGCAGGGAGGGCACGGUGUGCCAUCGAUAAAGCGUUGAGUCUGGGGUUUUGUGCAGCACAUUCAAGAGGGGACAGCAGGAGGGCCGAGGGAGGCUGGGAGGGCAAUUUGAGGAUGGGCACUCAGAGGCUGAAGGCUGAGUAGCCCCUAGUGCCUGGAGGACACGCAGCGGGCCAGAAGAGAGGCCCCAGACUGAGCCCCAGAGGCCACCAAUGGCACAGGUUGCUCAAACACAGACAGGGAAGAAAAGACCUCAGGGCUGCAGCAAGGGGUGGGAGAGGGAUGCAAGCUGGCAAGGAAGUGGGAAGGAAGAAAGCAAGAAUUUUGGCCACUGGAGCAGCCGGAUGCAAAUGGUCAAUAGAGCAAAAUGCUGCUGAGGACACCACAAAGCUGCGUCUGACUCUGCUGCAGGCUGGGAGGCCAGGUGACCGUGGCAGCAGAGAGAAGGCACCUCGGGCCAAGUGCCCCUGCCCUCUGGCUGUGGCCUGACGCCCUCUCCUGGUCCUGCACACCCUCGGCCUCUGUUGGCACCUGGACCAGACCACUCCCAGUCAGCCUCCAGCCAGAUGUCACUGCUUGAUAGUUUCUCCAGCUGGAGGUCCCAAACACUCUAAAUUCGGCUAAAAAUGCCUGCUGCCCCCCCACACAGCAGCAGCAGCCGGGGCGGGGGAGGGGGGCCCUCUGCCUCUGUCCCAUGCUCUCAGCCCCCCUUCCCUGCCCCCACUGGCAGGGCCCUGACUGUUCACGCUCAGAGGCCCCAGGAUUAGGCAGGGAGGACCCUUAGCCCACAGCAGUUGAAGGGGAGCAGGGCGGGGGCGUGCCGGCCGAGAGUGGACAGGCACUUUGGGGCCCACUGCCCUUCCCCAGUUGGAAAUGCGGACAGCCCAAAGAGCAGGAGGGCGCACCGGGAAGGCCCUGCAGUUUCCUGAGCUCAUACAGGCUUCCCAGGGUGGGGAGCGGGCCACGGUCAGCAACAGUGUG
Molecule: long non-coding RNA, 5727 nt
Filed under: Macaca mulatta (Rhesus monkey)
Lineage: Eukaryota; Metazoa; Chordata; Mammalia; Primates; Cercopithecidae
Description: lncRNA (ENSMMUG00000053998.1)
Source: RNAcentral